CCUGCGGAAGGAUCAUA
This 17-nucleotide ribosomal RNA is filed under the name Tulasnellaceae sp. RNAcentral describes it as "partial 18S ribosomal RNA". Lineage: Eukaryota; Fungi; Basidiomycota; Agaricomycetes; Cantharellales; Tulasnellaceae. The record is from RNAcentral.